CAACAGGGAUUGCCCUAGUAACGGCGAGUGAAGCGGCAACAGCUCAAAUUUGAAAUCUGGCCUCCCUCUGGGGGGUCCGAGUUGUAAUUUGCAGAGGGUGCUUUGGCAUGGGCGGCGGUCUAAGUUCCUUGGAACAGGACAUCGCAGAGGGUGAGAAUCCCGUAUGUGGGCGCCUGCCUUUGCCGUGUAAAGCCCCUUCGACGAGUCGAGUUGUUUGGGAAUGCAGCUCUAAAUGGGAGGUAAAUUUCUUCUAAAGCUAAAUACCGGCCAGAGACCGAUAGCGCACAAGUAGAGUGAUCGAAAGAUGAAAAGUACUUUGGAAAGAGAGUCAAAUAGCACGUGAAAUUGUUGAAAGGGAAGCGCUUGCAGCCAGACGUGCCCGCAGUUGCUCACCCCGGCUCUUGCCUGGGGCACUCUUCCGCGCGCAGGCCAGCAUCAGUUUGGGCGGUCGGAUAAAGGCCUCUGUCAAGUACCUUCCCCCGGGAAGGCCUUAUAGGGGAGGCGUAAUGCGACCAGCCCGGACUGAGGUCCGCGCAUCUGCUAGGAUGCUGGCGUAAUGGCUGUAAGCGGCCCGUCUUGAAACACGGACCAAGGAGUCUAACAUCUAUGCGAGUGUUUGGGUGUCAAGCCCGGGCGCGCAAUGAAAGUGAACGGAGGUGGGAUCCCCUUCCGGGGUGCACCAUCGACCGAUCCUGAUGUCUUCGGAUGGAUUUGAGUAAGAGCAUAGCUGUUGGGACCCGAAAGAUGGUGAACUAUGCUUGAAUAGGGUGAAGCCAGAGGAAACUCUGGUGGAGGCUCGCAGCGGUUCUGACGUGCAAAUCGAUCGUCAAAUUUGGGCAUAGGGGCGAAAGACUAAUCGAACCAUCUAGUAGCUGGUUCCUGCCGAA
This 887-nucleotide ribosomal RNA is filed under the name Montagnula acaciae. RNAcentral's name for it is "Montagnula sp. DST-2022a partial large subunit ribosomal RNA". It matches the Rfam family "Eukaryotic large subunit ribosomal RNA", at positions 66 to 965 of the family's 3401-position model. The record is from RNAcentral. Lineage: Eukaryota; Fungi; Ascomycota; Dothideomycetes; Pleosporales; Didymosphaeriaceae.